GAACGCACCUUGCGCUCCUUGGCAUUCCGAGGAGCAUGCCUGUUUGAGUGUCGUUGAAUUCUCAGAACCCUCCUCACAGGUGGGUUUGGAUUGGUGGAGGAUGCAUUGGACUUUGCUUUGCUUCUCUGAAAUGGAUUGGCCUUACGGCUGCGAUUCACGAACCUAGUCGUCGGUAUGAUAAUGUCUUACCUGCUUCUAACCCGUGCCAGCCUGGCCCAGACGAGACGAUCGUCUCUAUCUAUCUACAAUUUGACCUCAAAUCAGGCAGGACUACCCGCUGAACUUAAG
This 288-nucleotide unclassified non-coding RNA is filed under the name uncultured Agaricomycetes. RNAcentral describes it as "sequence contains 5.8S rRNA gene". The stretch from base 1 to 53 matches the Rfam family "5.8S ribosomal RNA", at positions 102 to 154 of the family's 154-position model. The record is from RNAcentral. Lineage: Eukaryota; Fungi; Basidiomycota; Agaricomycetes.